CAGGGGGAUAAGCGGAAGAAAUUCCGUCUAAUACCGCGUAAUAACUCCGAGGGGCAUCUCUUGGGGUUUAAAGGGUAACACCGGCUACGGAUGGCCAUGCGGCGCAUUAGCUAGUUGGCGGGGUAACGGCCCACCAAGGCGACGAUGCGUAGGGGUUCUGAGAGGAAGGUCCCCCACACUGGUACUGAGACACGGACCAGACUCCUACGGGAGGCAGCAGUGAGGAAUAUUGGUCAAUGGGCGCGAGCCUGAACCAGCCAAGUCGCGUGAGGGAAGACGGUCCUAUGGAUUGUAAACCUCUUUUGUCGGGGAGCAAAAGACGCCACGCGUGGCGUUCCGAGAGUACCCGAAGAAAAAGCAUCGGCUAACUCCGUGCCAGCAGCCGCGGUAAUACGGAGGAUGCGAGCGUUAUCCGGAUUUAUUGGGUUUAAAGGGUGCGCAGGCGGAAGAUCAAGUCAGCGGUAAAAUUGAGAGGCUCAACCUCUUCGAGCCGUUGAAACUGGUUUUCUUGAGUGAGCGAGAAGUAUGCGGAAUGCGUGGUGUAGCGGUGAAAUGCAUAGAUAUCACGCAGAACUCCGAUUGCGAAGGCAGCAUACCGGCGCUCAACUGACGCUCAUGCACGAAAGUGUGGGUAUCGAACAGGAUUAGAUACCCUGGUAGUCCACACAGUAAACGAUGAAUAAUAGUUGUUCGGGGAGAAUGAUCCCUGAGUGAUACAG
Molecule: ribosomal RNA, 719 nt
Filed under: uncultured bacterium
Lineage: Bacteria
Description: bacterial SSU rRNA
Rfam family: Bacterial small subunit ribosomal RNA
Source: RNAcentral